UUCGAAACUGGCAGGCUGGAGUCUUGUAGAGGGGGGUAGAAUUCCAGGUGUAGCGGUGAAAUGCGUAGAGAUCUGGAGGAAUCCCGGUGGCGAAGGCGGCCCCCUGGACAAAGACUGACGCUCAGGUGCGAAAGCGUGGGGAGCAAACAGGAUUAGAUAUCCUGGUAGUCCACGCUGUAAACGAUGUCGACUUGGAGGUUGUUCCCUUGAGGAGUGGCUUCCGGAGCUAACGCGUUAAGUCGACCGCCUGGGGAGUACGGCCGCAAGGUUAAAACUCAAAUGAAUUGACGGGGGCCCGCACAAGCGGUGGAGCAUGUGGUUUAAUUCGAUGCAACGCGAAGAACCUUACCUACUCUUGACAUCCAGAGAACUUAGCAGAGAUGCUUUGGUGCCUUCGGGAACUCUGAGACAGGUGCUGCAUGGCUGUCGUCAGCUCGUGUUGUGAAAUGUUGGGUUAAGUCCCGCAACGAGCGCAACCCUUAUCCUUUGUUGCCAGCGAUUCGGUCGGGAACUCAAAGGAGACUGCCAGUGAUAAACUGGAGGAAGGUGGGGAUGACGUCAAGUCAUCAUGGCCCUUACGAGUAGGGCUACACACGUGCUACAAUGGCAUAUACAAAGAGAAGCGACCUCGCGAGAGCAAGCGGACCUCAUAAAGUAUGUCGUAGUCCGGAUUGGAGUCUGCAACUCGACUCCAUGAAGUCGGAAUCGCUAGUAAUCGUGGAUCAGAAUGCCACGGUGAAUACGUUCCCGGGCCUUGUACACACCGCCCGUCACACCAUGGGAGUGGGUUGCAAAAGAAGUAGGUA
This 806-nucleotide ribosomal RNA is filed under the name Klebsiella sp. UIWRF0731. Its description in RNAcentral is "bacterial SSU rRNA". It matches the Rfam family "Bacterial small subunit ribosomal RNA", at positions 626 to 1432 of the family's 1533-position model. Lineage: Bacteria; Pseudomonadati; Pseudomonadota; Gammaproteobacteria; Enterobacterales; Enterobacteriaceae. The record is from RNAcentral.